This is a ribosomal RNA of 495 nucleotides. It matches the Rfam family "Eukaryotic small subunit ribosomal RNA", at positions 691 to 1185 of the family's 1831-position model.
GCGUCCUUCCUUCCGGAGACGCGUCCUACUCUUAGCUGAGCGGGGCGUGGAGACGGAUCGUUUACUUUGAAAAAAUCAGAGUGUUUCAAGCAGGCAUCAUCGCUCUUGCAUGGAUUAGCAUGGGAUAAUGAAAUAGGACCUUGGUGCUAUUUUGUUGGUUUCGAGCACCGAAGUAAUGAUUAACAGGGACAGUCAGGGGCACUCGUAUUCCGCCGAGAGAGGUGAAAUUCUCAGACCAGCGGAAGACGAACCACUGCGAAAGCAUUUGCCAGGGAUGUUUUCACUGAUCAAGAACGAAAGUUAGGGGAUCGAAGACGAUCAGAUACCGUCGUAGUCUUAACCAUAAACCAUGCCGACUAGGGAUUGGAGGAUGUCCACUUUUGACUUCUUCAGCACCUUACGGGAAACUAAAGUCUUUGGGUUCCGGGGGGAGUAUGGUCGCAAGGCUGAAACUUAAAGGAAUUGACGGAAGGGCACCACCAGGAGUGGAGCCUG